CCUACGGGCGGCAGCAGUGAGGAAUAUUGGUCAAUGGACGAGAGUCUGAACCAGCCAAGUAGCGUGAAGGAUGACUGCCCUAUGGGUUGUAAACUUCUUUUAUAUGGGAAUAAAAUGUUCCACGUGUGGGAUUUUGUAUGUACCAUAUGAAUAAGGAUCGGCUAACUCCGUGCCAGCAGCCGCGGUAAUACGGAGGAUCCGAGCGUUAUCCGGAUUUAUUGGGUUUAAAGGGAGAGUAGGUGGGUUGUUAAGUCAGUUGUGAAAGUUUGCGGCUCAACCGUAAAAUUGCAGUUGAUACUGGCAGUCUUGAGUACAGUAGAGGUGGGCGGAAUUCGUGGUGUAGCGGUGAAAUGCUUAGAUAUCACGAAGAACUCCGAUUGCGAAGGCAGCUCACUGGACUGCAACUGACACUGAGGCUCGAAAGUGUGGGUAGCAAACAGGAUUAGAUACCCGAGUAGUC
This 460-nucleotide ribosomal RNA is filed under the name uncultured bacterium. RNAcentral describes it as "partial 16S ribosomal RNA". It matches the Rfam family "Bacterial small subunit ribosomal RNA", at positions 338 to 795 of the family's 1533-position model. The record is from RNAcentral.